RNAcentral lists this Y RNA (97 nucleotides) under Propithecus coquereli (Coquerel's sifaka). RNAcentral describes it as "Y RNA (ENSPCOG00000006782.1)". It matches the Rfam family "Y RNA". Rfam says of the family: Y RNAs are components of the Ro ribonucleoprotein particle (Ro RNP), in association with Ro60 and La proteins. The Y RNAs and Ro60 and La proteins are well conserved, but the function of the Ro RNP is not known. Lineage: Eukaryota; Metazoa; Chordata; Mammalia; Primates; Indriidae. The record is from Rfam by way of RNAcentral.
GGCUGGUCCGAGUGCAGUGGUGUUUACUACGAAUUGAUCACAACCAGUUAUAGAUUCCUUUGUUCCUUCUCCUGCUGCUUCACUUGACUAGCCUUUA